GACGAACGCUGGCGGCGCGCUUAACGCAUGCAAGUCGAACGGAAAGGCCUGCUUUCCCUUGUGGAUUGCGGGUACUCGAGUGGCGAACGGGUGAGUAACACGUGAGUGAUCUGCCCCCAACUUGGGUAUAAGCCUGGGAAACUGGGUCUAAUUCCCGAUAGGACUGCAGGGUGGUGCCUGUGGUGGAAAACGAUUUUCUAGUGGUUGGGGAUGAGCUCGCGGCCUAUCAGCUUGUUGGUGGGGUAAUGGCCUACCAAGGCGGCGACGGGUAGCCGGCCUGAGAGGGUGGACGGCCACAUUGGGACUGAGAUACGGCCCAGACUCCUACGGGAGGCAGCAGUGGGGAAUAGUGCACAAUGGGCGGAAGCCUGAUGCAGCGACGCCGCGUGGGGGAUGACGGCCUUCGGGUUGUAAACUCCUUUCGACCGCGAGGAAGCCACCUGGUUGGAAGGGUGGUGACGGUAGUGGUAGAAGAAGCACCGGCUAACUACGUG
This 494-nucleotide ribosomal RNA is filed under the name uncultured bacterium. RNAcentral describes it as "partial 16S ribosomal RNA". It matches the Rfam family "Bacterial small subunit ribosomal RNA", at positions 28 to 507 of the family's 1533-position model. The record is from RNAcentral.